CCGUCCGUAGCUCAACUGGAAGAGCCGCCGUCUUCUAAACGGCUGGUUGUAGGUUCGAGUCCUACCGGGCGGACCA
This 76-nucleotide transfer RNA is filed under the name Bacteriophage DSS3_MAL1. Its description in RNAcentral is "tRNA-Arg". It matches the Rfam family "tRNA". From Rfam's summary of the family: Transfer RNA (tRNA) molecules are approximately 80 nucleotides in length. Their secondary structure includes four short double-helical elements and three loops (D, anti-codon, and T loops). The record is from RNAcentral. Lineage: Duplodnaviria; Heunggongvirae; Uroviricota; Caudoviricetes.